Long non-coding RNA from Pygocentrus nattereri (red-bellied piranha), 686 nucleotides. Lineage: Eukaryota; Metazoa; Chordata; Actinopteri; Characiformes; Serrasalmidae. The record is from Ensembl.
UAAUUAUUUACUAAUUUUAACAAAAUCCAUUGUCCUUUCUUGGGUAUUUUUCCAUGUUUUAUAUCACAGCGAAAAAGGAGCAGAUUUAGCUGUACUUCUGAAUGAGAGUUGCACCAGUGGUCCGGUUCUGCCCACCAGCCUGCCAUCACCAACAGCAACUGAAGUCACAAGUGCUACCACCGCCAGGAUCAUCACGAACACCACCGAGACAUCUCCAGAUAACACAACCCCACUUCAGAACACUUCACCUACGUUGGUAACUACAGUGGUUAAUGUAACAGCUACCAAAAGUACAGCUGCCCUGAACACCUCCACUCCAGAUGUUCCAGCAAAAUCUACAGCUUCAUACACGAAAGUUACAGCAACAACAGUGAACGCAACAGUUUCUACCCUCAGUGCGGAAGUGAAAGCUGAAGAGCUGCUGAAACUGAGCGGUAACGUUUCUGCUCUGAGCUCCGCCCAGAUCGACCAGCUUGUGACUCAGCUAGAGGAACUUCUUUUAGGGCCCACUGUCAGCCUGGCUCUGGGGAGCAUGUCUAUCAACAUUGUCAGCAAUUUACUGGACGCACCGGCAAAUACGCUGGCGUCCACUUCAAGCAGGUGAGAUGAACAGCUGGACUGUUGCUUAGGUCAGUGUCUUUACUUUCAUUGUAGUUGUGAAUAGAACGGCCUGGUGAGGUAUAAAU